RNAcentral lists this unclassified non-coding RNA (284 nucleotides) under Cyphellophora sp. RNAcentral's name for it is "partial internal transcribed spacer region". The stretch from base 1 to 46 matches the Rfam family "Eukaryotic small subunit ribosomal RNA", at positions 1786 to 1831 of the family's 1831-position model. Lineage: Eukaryota; Fungi; Ascomycota; Eurotiomycetes; Chaetothyriales; Cyphellophoraceae. The record is from RNAcentral.
AAGUCGUAACAAGGUUUCCGUAGGUGAACCUGCGGAAGGAUCAUUACCGAGUUAGGGUCGCUCCCAUGCGCCCGACCUCCAACCCUUUGCUUACUUGACCUUUUGUUGCUUCGGCAGGCCCGUCUUCGUGGCCGCCGGGGGUCCCUCCCGACUCCUGGUCAGCGCCUGCCGACAGCCCCCUUCAAAAAUCUUUGCUUAAACGUGUCGUCUAAGUAUUGUUAAAAACAAAAUAAACAAAAACUUUCAACAACGGAUCUCUUGGUUCUGGCAUCGAUGAACGCAGC